CAUUUUUGGAAGAUAUGGUAGCUAUUCUCUUCAUCACAUCCACAUCUAGGACACUGGGAAUUCCUAACAACCCUUUUGAUUUUGAGGUUGCUAAAAGUUGGGAUAAAGUUCCAAGAGAUCCUCCAUACUGUCAUUUGAAUUUUUGAGGGAAUAUGUAAUUUCCAUAAUUUAGUAUAGAAAAUUUUUUCCUCGGUAUGUAACAUUAAUCCAUUAGGAUCAAGGUUAGUCUGCUGUAAUAGUUUAUAAGCACUCCUUACGGAGAACUCCCCUGUCGGUUCUCCUCUCCAUACUUGAAAGUCCUCUUGUACUGUCUCGCUAGUGGGAUCUGCAAAAUUUUCUCCGCAAUGACCGGUUGGAAGGUAUUUCUAAUCAACUCUAUUUUCCAACUCAUGAUAUUUGAAUCAAUUAAAUCAGAGACUAAUUUAAUAUUAUCAUUUCCAUCCUGAAUCGGUAUUCUGUCUGCUUCGAUCCCUGGUAUCCACGAAUCAAUCCAGAUGGAAAUUUGAUCACCUCUCCCCACCCUCCAUCCACGUCCUCUUUCAAGGAGUCCUCUCGCAGCCCAAAUGCUCUUCCAGGUAAAUGAAGGUAAAUUCCUCAACCGAGCUUCGUAGAAAUGAGAAUUAGGAAAAUAUUUUGCUUUCAAAACUCGGGCCAAUAAUGAAUCCGGAUAAUUAAUAAGACGCCACCCCUGCUUCGCUAAUAACGCAAUAUUAAACUGUGCAAAAUUACGAAAACCGAGACCUCCAUCUUCUUUAAGUAAACAAAUAUUCUUCCAAGUGCACCAAUGAAUACUUUUUUAUUUUGUCUCUUUCGCCACCAGAAAUUGGCUAUAAUUUUAUCCAAAUUUGUACAAAGAGUCUUAGGGAGUAAAAAACAAGCCAUUGAGUAAUUUGGGAUAGCUUGGAGAACUGCUUUUAUAAACACUUCCUUACCACCUUGAGAGAGAAACCUGACACUUCAGUUGUCGAUUUUUUGCUUUAGCCUAUCCUUCAGAAUUUGAAAAGAUGAUCUCUUUCUUCUCCCCACCAUACUAGGAAGCCCUAAAUACCUUUCCAAAUCAUUUGCUCUUCUGACUCUAAGGAUCUGUGAAACAGCCUCCCUUUCUCUAUCUUUUGUGUUUGUACUGAAGAAAACCAUCGAUUUAUCAAAAUUCACACACUGCCCGGAACUCACCUCAUAAUCUUUCAAAAUCUGUUUUAAUGAAUGUGCACCCCCUUCAGUAGCUUCUGCAAAUAAAAUACAGUCAUCUGCAAACAGUAAGUGAGUUAUAGCUGGCCCAUGUCUACUUGCUUUAACACCUUUAAGAACAUUAUCUCCUUCUGCAAGCCUCAUUAAACUUGAGAUUCCCUCCCCACAAAAGAGAAAUAAGAAAGGGCUUAGAGGAUCCCCUUGUCUGAGACCUCUAGUCGGAAGAAACGUUCGUCCAGUAUUUCUAUUACAAAUUACAGAAUACGAGACCGAAGAUACACACUUCAAUACUAACUCGACCCAUCCUGGAUCAAAGCCCAUUUUUUCCAUCACCCCUUCCACAAAGCCCCAUUCAACUCUAUCGUAAGCCUUACUCAUGUCCAAUUUAACAACCAUGAAUCCUUUUUUUCCCAACCUCUUGAGUUUUAAGGUGUGAAGAAUUUCAUAAGCAAGGAGCACGUUAUCAGAAAUCAACCUUCCUGGAACAAAAGCACUCUGUGCUAAAUCGAUACAUUUAUGAAUUACCCCCCGAAGUCUAUUUGCAAUGACUUUAGCAAUUAGUUUAUAGAUCACAUUACAUAAGCUAAUAGGUCUAAACUGAGUCAUGCUUGAGGGAUUUUGGGUUUUUGGGAUGAGCACAAUGUUUGUUUUGUUAAUUGAGCGUAAUUCCAUACCUUCGUUUAAUCUUUGGAGGCAAAAUUUGGAGACGUCAUCACCAAUGAUUGGCCAGCAUUUCUGAUAAAACAAGGCUGGAAAACCAUCCUCACCUGGAGCUUUCGUCGGUCCUAUUUUUGAAAGGGCUUCCCAUAUCUCUUCCUUCGUGUACCUUGCCUUCAGUUUACUGUUAUCUUCCUCAGAAAUACAUCUAUCAAUACCUAAUAGAAUUUUCUCAUAGCAAUUUCGUCCUCCUGUUGAAAAUAACUUUAAAAAAUAUGAGCUAGCAAUCGCCUCCAUCUCCCUACAAUCCUCUGUCUCCCUUCCAUCAUCAAAUUUCAACCUCUGGAUCCUAUUAUACUUCCUUCUUUGAGACGCUUGUUUGUGAAAGAAAGCUGUAUUUCUGUCUCCAUAUUUCAGCCAGUUAAUUCGGGCCCUUUGCUCCCAGUAUCUUUCAUCCUUGUCAAUCUCAAAGUUCAGGUGGAGUUUUGUAUCAAUAAUCUCUGCCAGGUUCUCAUCACUUCUUUCUGAUUCAAGUAAAACUUCCAGUCUUGAAGUUAAAACCUCUUUAUUCAUCUUCCUACUUUGCUGGAUCAAUGCUCCCCACCUUUGUAACCCCCUUUUUAAGUUUUCCAGCCUGUAUAAAAAAUCUCUUGUGGAAUUUUCCCAAAUGCAUUUGAUUUCAUUGAAGAAUGUCUCCUCUAAAACCCACCAAGCUUCGAAUUUGAAAUUCUUUUCUGUCACCCUUUUAACUCUGAAAUUCAUGUCAAUAAGAAGUGGACAAUGAUCAGAAAAUGAAUGUGGGAGAUGUUGUAUUAGGGAAUAAAUUAUGCCAUUGCUCCGUUGCCACUCCUCUAUCAAGUCUUUCUUGUAUGUUUGUUUCUAGCAGGUUACCCCUCUCCCACGUGAACCAGUUCCCUGAAUAACCCAAGUCCAUCAGAUUACAAUCAUCUAAAACCUUUCGAAAAGCUUCCAUCCUUCUUUCCUCUCUAGGUAUUCCACAUUUCUUCUCAAAACCGUAUAAGAUUUCAUUAAAAUCCCCACAAACCAUCCAUGGAAAAUCACCCUGAGUACCAAGUUGACGCAGCAAAUUCCAAGAUUCUUCUCUUUCGCCUGAAUAAGGAGAUCCAUAGAAACCUGUAAGUCUCCACUUUCCCCCAUCUCCUUCGUCAACAAUCACAUCAAUAUGACGACUUGAGAAGCUUUGAAGCACAAUAUUAACAUUCCCUUUCCAAGCAAGACAGAGUCCUCCUCUAGACCCCACCGACUCUACUUCAAUUCCACAUUGAAAACCACAACUUCCUCUUAUUUUUUCCAUCCUUUUCUUGUUUAUUUUAGUCUCUAUCAAAAAAACCACCUGGGGAUUUUGAAGCUUCAAAAAAUAUCAAAGCCGACGAACUGUUCGAGGAUUCCCCAAACCUCGAACAUUCCAACUUAAGAUUUUCAUUGCGACCGGCCGGCUUGCCUCUUGGCAGCCGCCGAUAAAGAAUGAUUGCCGUUAGGAAACCUCCUGAUUCUCCCUUCUGUAACACUCAUUUCUUCGAUAUCCUCCCUCACUCUUUUUUUCCCCUCCUCCCCAAUAAUCAACUCAUUCUCCAAAUCAUGUUCCAUAGCUGUUUGACUUUCAGCAAAUGGAGCUAUUUUCCUUUCUGGUUGAAAAGAGAGCCUGUUACCUUCCAGAUUAAAACCUAGAAUAGGAUCAACAAUUCCCUCGAAUUUUUUUACACAUCCCCAAACUCUGUUUCCCCUAAAUGCACCCUUUUUAAUCGUUCCCCCUUCAGAUCCUCCUUCCUCCCUUAACCAGACACUAUUCAUUGCUUGGGCUCUUCUGGACUGUGCUCGCAAGGACAAAUCCCAUUCCAAUUCAUUAACUUCAACUCCAGCCUCCAUUUUAGCUUCACAAAAGGAAUCAUUGUGGCCUAAACGGCCACAGUAGAAGCAAAAGAGAGUAAGUCUUUCGUAUUGAAAUCUAACAUAUGAGCAUUUGUUUUGGAACAUAACCUGUUUUUUCCUUUUUAGCGGUCGUCGAAUAUCAACUUGAACCCUAAUUCGCAUAAAGUUCAUAUUUUCUUUCCCCAAACAGGAGCCAUCAUAAUCUUGAAAAUUUCCAAUAAAAUUUCCUAAUUGCAUAGCCAAAUUCUCGGAAUAAAACCCAAUGGGAACACCAUGAACUUGAACCCAGAACGGUGAAAAAAUCAGUGGAACUCUCAGAGGGUUUUCCCCUCUUUUCAGCUUGUGCAGAAUCAGUAAAUGAUUAUUAAAUGUCCAAGGAGCACCAUUAAUAACUCUUUCCAUAUCUAUAAUAUGAAAAAAUUUAAAUAAGUACCUCUUCUUUCCUAGAUCCCUAAUUUGAACACCUCUAACAGGAUGCCAUAAAUUUGCCAUGGUGCUUUUCAUUCUUGGAUAAUGUAUGAUACUGGCUGUAAGAAAACAACCAACCAGACUAAGAAAUUCUUCCUCAUUCACCGGAUCUGAAUCGUUUUGUACUUGCAGGAUCUCUUCUUCUUCUUCAUCAAGGGAUAGACCAGCAAAAUCUGACUCCAUAGACGCAGGUUAAAAUAGUGGAAAGAGGAAAAAAAAUUCUGUUCAAAAUCUCUAAAUCAGGGUAGGUGCUGCUGAAAACGAGAGACUCAAGAAAAAACCAAAAACCUUGGCAGAGAGGCAGACAAAGACGUGCUAGGGUAGCAGACUAUUCUUGUAUUUAAAUGAAAUUUAGAUUUAGUGAUAACUUAAGUUUUAUUAAUCCAAUUAGCAUGGAUUUAUCUAAAAAGUUAAAGUAUUUUCAUUUAAUUAAUAGCUAAAAAGACAAGUUCCAUUAUCACUUUCAAUUAAAUUUUAAUAUUUUAACUACUGAAGUAGUUAAUAAUAUUGUUUUUUUGGACGAGUAAAAAAACAAUAUUUCUUUUAGUUUGUUAUACGGAAUAAAAAUAUAUUAUCUCAUGAAUAAAAAAUAACAUAUAUUUU
RNAcentral lists this long non-coding RNA (4806 nucleotides) under Gossypium barbadense (sea-island cotton). Its description in RNAcentral is "long non-coding RNA (GBAR_LNC019761)". Lineage: Eukaryota; Viridiplantae; Streptophyta; Magnoliopsida; Malvales; Malvaceae. The record is from RNAcentral.